GUGGUUGUGGCUCAGAGGUAGAGUGCUCACCUAGCAUGUGUGAGGCAUUGGGUUUGAUCCUCAGCACCACG
Molecule: transfer RNA, 71 nt
Filed under: Marmota monax (woodchuck)
Lineage: Eukaryota; Metazoa; Chordata; Mammalia; Rodentia; Sciuridae
Rfam family: tRNA
About the family: Transfer RNA (tRNA) molecules are approximately 80 nucleotides in length. Their secondary structure includes four short double-helical elements and three loops (D, anti-codon, and T loops).
Source: Rfam by way of RNAcentral